Molecule: ribosomal RNA, 403 nt
Filed under: Verrucomicrobiota bacterium
Lineage: Bacteria; Pseudomonadati; Verrucomicrobiota
Description: Verrucomicrobia bacterium partial 16S ribosomal RNA
Rfam family: Bacterial small subunit ribosomal RNA
Source: RNAcentral
UGGGGAAUAUUGCACAAUAGGGGAAACCCUGAUGCAGCGACGCCGCGUGAGCGAAGAAGGCUUUCGAGUCGUAAAGCUCUGUCCUAUGAGAAGAUAAUGACGGUAUCAUAGGAGGAAGCCCUGGCUAAAUACGUGCCAGCAGCCGCGGUAAUACGUAUGGGGCGAGCGUUGUCCGGAAUUAUUGGGCGUAAAGGGUACGUAGGCGGUUUUUUAAGUCAGGUGUCAAAGCGUGGAGCUUAACUCCAUUAAGCACUUGAAACUGAAAGACUUGAGUGAAGGAGAGGAAAGUGGAAUUCCUAGUGUAGCGGUGAAAUGCGUAGAUAUUAGGAGGAAUACCGGUGGCGAAUGCGACUUUCUGGACUUUUACUGACGCUCAGGUACGAAAGCGUGGGGAGCAAACAGG